GAUGAACGCUGGCGGCGUGCCUAAUACAUGCAAGUCGAGCGAACAGACGAGGAGCUUGCUCCUCUGACGUUAGCGGCGGACGGGUGAGUAACACGUGGAUAACCUACCUAUAAGACUGGGAUAACUUCGGGAAACCGGAGCUAAUACCGGAUAAUAUAUUGAACCGCAUGGUUCAAUAGUGAAAGACGGUUUUGCUGUCACUUAUAGAUGGAUCCGCGCCGCAUUAGCUAGUUGGUAAGGUAACGGCUUACCAAGGCAACGAUGCGUAGCCGACUUGAGAGGGGGAUCGGCCACACUGGAACUGAGACACGGUCCAGACUCCUACGGGAGGCAGCAGUAGGGAAUCUUCCGCAAUGGGCGGAAGCCUGGCGGAGCAACGCGGCGUGAGUGAUGAAGGUCUUCGGAUCGUAAAACUCUGUUAUUAGGGAAGAACAAAUGUGUAAGUAACUAUGCACGUCUUGACGGUACCUAAUCAGAAAGCCACGGCUAACUACGUG
RNAcentral lists this ribosomal RNA (497 nucleotides) under uncultured bacterium. Its description in RNAcentral is "partial 16S ribosomal RNA". It matches the Rfam family "Bacterial small subunit ribosomal RNA", at positions 28 to 507 of the family's 1533-position model. The record is from RNAcentral.